GCGAGUGGCGGACGGGUGAGGAAUACAUCGGAAUCUACCUUUUCGUGGGGGAUAACGUAGGGAAACUUACGCUAAUACCGCAUACGACCUUAGGGUGAAAGCGGAGGACCUUCGGGCUUCGCGCGGAUAGAUGAGCCGAUGUCGGAUUAGCUAGUUGGCGGGGUAAAGGCCCACCAAGGCGACGAUCCGUAGCUGGUCUGAGAGGAUGAUCAGCCACACUGGAACUGAGACACGGUCCAGACUCCUACGGGAGGCAGCAGUGGGGAAUAUUGGACAAUGGGCGCAAGCCUGAUCCAGCCAUGCCGCGUGGGUGAAGAAGGCCUUCGGGUUGUAAAGCCCUUUUGUUGGGAAAGAAAAGCAGUCGGUUAAUACCCGAUUGUUCUGACGGUACCCAAAGAAUAAGCACCGGCUAACUUCGUGCCAGCAGCCGCGGUAAUACGAAGGGUGCAAGCGUUACUCGGAAUUACUGGGCGUAAAGCGUGCGUAGGUGGUUGUUUAAGUCCGUUGUGAAAGCCCUGGGCUCAACCUGGGAAUUGCAGUGGAUACUGGGCAACUAGAGUGUGGUAGAGGAUGGCGGAAUUCCCGGUGUAGCAGUGAAAUGCGUAGAGAUCGGGAGGAACAUCUGUGGCGAAGGCGGCCAUCUGGACCAACACUGACACU
RNAcentral lists this ribosomal RNA (660 nucleotides) under Xanthomonas sp. RNAcentral describes it as "bacterial SSU rRNA". It matches the Rfam family "Bacterial small subunit ribosomal RNA", at positions 91 to 747 of the family's 1533-position model. The record is from RNAcentral. Lineage: Bacteria; Pseudomonadati; Pseudomonadota; Gammaproteobacteria; Lysobacterales; Lysobacteraceae.